Molecule: ribosomal RNA, 434 nt
Filed under: uncultured Clostridium sp.
Lineage: Bacteria; Bacillati; Bacillota; Clostridia; Eubacteriales; Clostridiaceae
Description: partial 16S ribosomal RNA
Rfam family: Bacterial small subunit ribosomal RNA
Source: RNAcentral
ACGGGAGGCAGCAGUGGGGGAUAUUGCACAAUGGGGGAAACCCUGAUGUAGCGACGCCGCGUGAGUGAUGAAGUAUUUCGGUAUGUAAAGCUCUAUCAGCAGGAAAGAUAAUGACGGUACCUGACUAAGAAGCGCCGGCUAAAUACGUGCCAGCAGCCGCGGUAAUACGUAGGGGGCAAGCGUUAUCCGGAUUUACUGGGUGUAAAGGGAGCGUAGACGGCUAAGCAAGUCUGAUGUGAAAGGCAGGGGCUCAACUCCUGGACUGCAUUGGAAACUGUUUAGCUCGAGUGCCGGAGAGGUAAGCGGAAUUCCUAGUGUAGCGGUGAAAUGCGUAGAUAUUAGGAGGAACACCAGUGGCGAAGGCGGCUUACUGGACGGUAACUGACGUUGAGGCUCGAAAGCGUGGGGAGCAAACAGGAUUAGAUACCCUGGUA